RNAcentral lists this ribosomal RNA (465 nucleotides) under uncultured bacterium. Its description in RNAcentral is "partial 16S ribosomal RNA". It matches the Rfam family "Bacterial small subunit ribosomal RNA", at positions 338 to 795 of the family's 1533-position model. The record is from RNAcentral.
CCUACGGGUGGCAGCAGUAGGGAAUCUUCCACAAUGGGCGAAAGCCUGAUGGAGCAACGCCGCGUGGGUGAAGAAGGUCUUCGGAUCGUAAAACCCUGUUGUUAGAGAAGAAAGUGCGUGAGAGUAACUGUUCACGUUUCGAUGGUAUCUAACCAGAAAGCCACGGCUAACUACGUGCCAGCAGCCGCGGUAAUACGUAGGUGGCAAGCGUUAUCCGGAUUUAUUGGGCGUAAAGGGAACGCAGGCGGUCUUUUAAGUCUGAUGGGAAAGCCUUCGGCUUAACCGGAGUAGUGCAUUGGAAACUGGGAGACUUGAGUGCAGAAGCGGAGAGUGGAACUCCAUGUGUAGCGGUGAAAUGCGUAGAUAUAUGGAAGAACACCAGUGGCGAAAGCGAGUCUCUGGUCUGUAACUGACGCUGAGGUUCGAAAGCGUGGGUAGCAAACAGGAUUAGAUACCCCUGUAGUC